GGCCGCCCCUUCGGGGGCGGCGGGAGGCUCGAAACCUCCCGUGAGGGUGCGAAUCCCUCCGUCGCCA
This 67-nucleotide transfer RNA is filed under the name Methylopila capsulata. RNAcentral's name for it is "tRNA-Ser". The record is from RNAcentral. Lineage: Bacteria; Pseudomonadati; Pseudomonadota; Alphaproteobacteria; Hyphomicrobiales; Methylopilaceae.